ACCAGCAGCCAUAUCACUCUGCAAUUCACAACUGGUAACCCAGCUGGUAACUGAAGCUAAGCAGGUGUGAGCCUGGUCAGUACCUGGAUGGGAGACCUCUUGGGAAAAACUUAGGUUGCUGCUUGAA
RNAcentral lists this ribosomal RNA (127 nucleotides) under Lepisosteus oculatus (spotted gar). Lineage: Eukaryota; Metazoa; Chordata; Actinopteri; Semionotiformes; Lepisosteidae. The record is from RNAcentral.